ACUACGGGUAUCUAAUCCUGUUUGCUCCCCACACUUUCGAUAUGGCAGCGUCAGUGUUAUCCCAGGAGGCUGCUUCGCCAUCGGUGUUCUCCGCACACUCUACGCAUUCCUGCUACACGCGAAUUCCGCCUCCCACUGACACACUCUAGCUCGGUAGUUAAAAAUGCAGUUCUUGGAUAAGCUCUGGUUCAUCACUGCCGAGCACCGCCUGCUGCACGCUUUACGCCCAGUAAUUCCGAUUAACGCUUGCACCCUACGUAUUACUGCGGCUGCCCGGCGCAUGGUUAACCAGUUAACAUUCACGGAAGAUACCGUCGUUCCACGAGUGUCCUCCACAUACGUUCUUCUAUAAAGUGCUUUGCUUGAAGGCCUUCAUCGCACGCGGGAUGGCUGAAUCAGAGUUUCCCCAUUGUCAAAAUUCCCCACUGCUGCGUCGCAGAAUAUUUUCUGAUACUCCAGGAGCAA
RNAcentral lists this unclassified non-coding RNA (465 nucleotides) under uncultured Bordetella sp. Its description in RNAcentral is "partial 16S-23S ribosomal RNA intergenic spacer". Lineage: Bacteria; Pseudomonadati; Pseudomonadota; Betaproteobacteria; Burkholderiales; Alcaligenaceae. The record is from RNAcentral.